CAAAAUGGUCAUUUUGUCAUCACAGUCCACACCGUACCCUAUGUGAACAUUUUUCAUUUUACAAGGGGGCAAAGUAUAGAUUUUUAAAUGAUUGGGGGGAAAGUGAAAAAUCAAAUUUUGACAGGGGGGUUUUAUGUAAUUUAGCCUUCUUAUUAUUUUAUGUGAGAUCGCCCGUAUAUUUAUAAGGAAUUCCAAAAUCCUAAUAGGUGCGUAAGAGAUAAGGCCAAAUCGGUUAUUAAUUAUUAUCCUAAUAUGAUUAGAAUUUAUCUCUAAUUAGCUUUCCAAUUUAAAAGCGAGAUUAAUACUAAUCCAAUUAGACAACAUAAUAACCGUCGGAUCGAGCCCAAUCAUGGGCACACCCGAUUCGAUUUAACCGGAUGCCAACAAUUACUUUUCAC
Molecule: long non-coding RNA, 398 nt
Filed under: Ananas comosus (pineapple)
Lineage: Eukaryota; Viridiplantae; Streptophyta; Magnoliopsida; Poales; Bromeliaceae
Description: long non-coding RNA (ACOM_LNC013497)
Source: RNAcentral